GUGCUCACUUCAGCAGCACAUACACUAACACUGGAACAAUAUAAAAAAGAUCAGCAUGGCCCCUGCACAAGGAUGACACUCAAAUUCAUGAAGUGUUCCAUAUUUUU
Small nuclear RNA from Cynocephalus volans (Philippine flying lemur), 107 nucleotides. Lineage: Eukaryota; Metazoa; Chordata; Mammalia; Dermoptera; Cynocephalidae. The record is from RefSeq and is a predicted model, not a curated record.